Molecule: ribosomal RNA, 301 nt
Filed under: uncultured bacterium
Lineage: Bacteria
Description: partial 16S ribosomal RNA
Rfam family: Bacterial small subunit ribosomal RNA
Source: RNAcentral
CAGUAGCCGCGGUAAUACAGAGGGUGCGAGCGUUAAUCGGAUUUACUGGGCGUAAAGCGUGCGUAGGCGGCUUUUUAAGUCGGAUGUGAAAUCCCUGAGCUUAACUUAGGAAUUGCAUUCGAUACUGGGAAGCUAGAGUAUGGGAGAGGAUGGUAGAAUUCCAGGUGUAGCGGUGAAAUGCGUAGAGAUCUGGAGGAAUACCGAUGGCGAAGGCAGCCAUCUGGCCUAAUACUGACGCUGAGGUACGAAAGCAUGGGGAGCAAACAGGAUAGAUACCCCAGUAGUCCCUGUCUCUUAUACC